RNAcentral lists this ribosomal RNA (1519 nucleotides) under Zhenpiania hominis. RNAcentral describes it as "bacterial SSU rRNA". It matches the Rfam family "Bacterial small subunit ribosomal RNA". Lineage: Bacteria; Bacillati; Bacillota; Clostridia; Peptostreptococcales; Anaerovoracaceae. The record is from RNAcentral.
UCAAAAAGAGUUUGAUCCUGGCUCAGGAUGAACGCUGGCGGCGUGCCUAACACAUGCAAGUCGAGCGAGAAGCUUUUAACGGACGCUUCGGUUGAAGUUAAGAGUGGAAAGCGGCGGACGGGUGAGUAACGCGUAGGCAACCUGCCCCUUGCAGAGGGAUAGCCUCGGGAAACCGGGAUUAAAACCACAUAAAUCCUUUUUAUCGCAUGAUAGAGAGGACAAAGAUUUAUCGGCAAGGGAUGGGCCUGCGUCUGAUUAGUUAGUUGGUGGGGUAACGGCCUACCAAGGCGACGAUCAGUAGCCGACCUGAGAGGGUGAACGGCCACAUUGGAACUGAGACACGGUCCAAACUCCUACGGGAGGCAGCAGUGGGGAAUCUUGCACAAUGGGCGAAAGCCUGAUGCAGCAACGCCGCGUGAGCGAAGAAGGCCUUUGGGUCGUAAAGCUCUGUCGGUAGGGAAGAAGGAAGUGACGGUACCUACCGAGGAAGCCCCGGCUAACUACGUGCCAGCAGCCGCGGUAAUACGUAGGGGGCGAGCGUUAUCCGGAAUUAUUGGGCGUAAAGAGUACGUAGGCGGUUUUUUAAGCGAGGGGUAUAAGGCAGCGGCUUAACUGCUGUUGGCCCCUCGAACUGGAGGACUUGAGUGUCGGAGAGGAAAGCGGAAUUCCUAGUGUAGCGGUGAAAUGCGUAGAGAUUAGGAGGAACACCAGUGGCGAAGGCGGCUUUCUGGACGACAACUGACGCUGAGGUACGAAAGCGUGGGGAGCAAACAGGAUUAGAUACCCUGGUAGUCCACGCCGUAAACGAUGAGCACUAGGUGUCGGGUUCGCAAGAAUUCGGUGCCGGAGUUAACGCAAUAAGUGCUCCGCCUGGGGAGUACGCACGCAAGUGUGAAACUCAAAGGAAUUGACGGGGACCCGCACAAGCAGCGGAGCAUGUGGUUUAAUUCGAAGCAACGCGAAGAACCUUACCAGGGCUUGACAUCCCUCUGACAGGACCUUAAUCGGUUUUUUCUACGGACAGAGGAGACAGGUGGUGCAUGGUUGUCGUCAGCUCGUGUCGUGAGAUGUUGGGUUAAGUCCCGCAACGAGCGCAACCCUUGUCAUUAGUUGCCAGCAGUAAGAUGGGGACUCUAAUGAGACUGCCGUGGAUAACACGGAGGAAGGUGGGGAUGACGUCAAAUCAUCAUGCCCCUUAUGUCCUGGGCUACACACGUGCUACAAUGGUCGGAACAGAGAGAGGCGAGACCGCGAGGUGGAGCAAAACUCAAAAACCGAUCCCAGUUCGGAUUGCAGGCUGCAACCCGCCUGCAUGAAGUCGGAGUUGCUAGUAAUCGCAGAUCAGAAUGCUGCGGUGAAUGCGUUCCCGGGUCUUGUACACACCGCCCGUCACACCAUGGAAGUUGGGGGCGCCCGAAGUUGGCCGGCAAAUAGGCUGCCUAAGGUGAAACCAAUGACUGGGGUGAAGUCGUAACAAGGUAGCCGUAGGAGAACCUGCGGCUGGAUCACCUCCUUUCUA